Molecule: long non-coding RNA, 194 nt
Filed under: Fukomys damarensis (Damara mole-rat)
Lineage: Eukaryota; Metazoa; Chordata; Mammalia; Rodentia; Bathyergidae
Description: lncRNA (ENSFDAG00000030261.1)
Source: RNAcentral
GAGGUGAGCACCCUGCUCUGCCAUGUGCUUCUGCCAUGAUGUACUGCCUCACCACAGGGCCAAAACUUUUGAAAGCAGGAAUGGAAAGAACCUGUUCCUCUUUUAAGUUGAUUUUCUCAGGUAUCUUGUUACAGCAAUGUAAAGCCAACAUAGAUACUGAUGCAUUUGAGAAUAAUGGUGAGUUCUGUACAAAG